This is an RNA transcript of Gallus gallus (chicken), 2799 nucleotides long. It is a transcript of the gene named translocase of outer mitochondrial membrane 20, with no coding region annotated. Lineage: Eukaryota; Metazoa; Chordata; Aves; Galliformes; Phasianidae. The record is from RefSeq and is a predicted model, not a curated record. The transcript is spliced from 6 exons.
GGAAGCGAGGCGGGGUCCUUUUUCGCCGCCCGCUCGCCCCAAGGUGCCUGCGGAGCUCGGCGCCGGCCUUGCGGAGGGCGGGGGCGGCGGGGCCUUCCCCGCGGCGCCGGGCACCAUGAUGGUGGGUAAGACCAGUGCCAUCGCCGCGGGCCUCUGCGGGGCCCUAUUCAUCGGCUACUGCAUCUACUUCGACCGCAAGAGGAGGAGCGACCCGAAUUUCAAGAACCGGCUGCGGGAGCGAAGGAAGAAACAGAAGCUUGCCAAAGAGAGAGCAGGGCUUUCCAAGCUGCCUGAUCUGAAAGAUGCUGAAGCUGUUCAGAAGUUUUUUCUUGAGGAGAUCCAGCUUGGGGAGGAACUACUAGCUCAAGGUGAAUAUGAGAAAGGUGUUGAUCACUUGACCAAUGCCAUUGCUGUGUGUGGACAGCCGCAGCAGCUACUACAAGUUCUACAGCAGACUCUUCCACCACCAGUGUUUCAAAUGCUUCUAACUAAGCUCCCUACAAUAAGCCAGAGAUGUGUGUGACACUGUGAAGAAUCUGUCAAGAGGGAGUCUGUGCCUCUGCAAGCUCACAGUCUGUGGUCCUGAUCCUGGAACUUACUCUGCACGGUCCCUUCCUUAUGGAAACCUAAGCUACCAAGAUCAGGACAUGGGGACGGUGAAACAGGAAGGGAGAAGGAGGACUCAGCGUUGCGGGCCCUGUCCAUCUCAUGAUGCACAGAGCUUCCUUCUCUGCCUCUCUGCAGGUAAGUGAUCUCUCCUCAACUUGGCUGAUAGAAGCCCAGGUGAGUUCUGGAAUAUUCCAAGCCGGAAAGGACUUUGAGUCCAAGUCCUGGCACCACACAGGACCACCUAAAAUCAAACUCUGUGUCUGAGAGUGUUGUCAGAACAGUUUGUGAACUCCAAAGGGUUGGGGCCAUGACCACUGCCCUGGGGAGCCUGUUCCAGUGCCUGACCACCCACUGGUGAAGAACGUCUUCUUAAUACUCUUGUUAAACUUCACAUGGUUGAUGAUUACUCAGCCCUUUAAUUUGCUGAGAUCUCUCUGCAAGACCUCUCUGCAAUCAGAGGAGUCUACAGCAGUACGUUCCAGAAUUCAAGAUGCAUUUGGACGAUGCUUUCAGAAAUAUGGUUUGAAUUCUGGGUAGUCCUAUGUAGAGCCAAGAGUUGGACUCCAUGAUCCUUAUGGGGUCCUUCCAACUCACGAUACUGUAUGAUUCUGUGAUUCUAUUCUAAUUUAGUAUCAUCUGCAAACCUAUUUAAUAUGGAUUCAAGUUCCGUGUCCAGACCAUUUAUAAAAGCACUGAAGAGAACUGACUAAAAUGGAGCCCCAUGGAACCCCAUUAAUGACUGGCCACCAGCUUGAUGUAACCCCAUUUGCUGUAACACUUUGAGCCCGACCCAUGAGCCCAACAUACACCCACUGCAUUAUGUCUAGCUGGAUGCUGGACAUUUUGUCAAGAAGGAUAUGGUGAAAAAGAGUGUUGAAAUCGUUGCUGAAAUCCAAACAGAUCACAUCAUCUGGCUUCCCUUGAUCAACAAGGUGGGUCACCUUGGCAUAAAAGGAAACUAAGUUCCUUUAACAGGACUUUCUCCUCAUGAACCUGUGUUGGCUAUGAUCAAUGACUGCAUUGCCUUUCAAGUGUUUUUCAGUAACUUCCAGAAUAAUCUUCUGCAUAAUUUUACCAGGCACUGAAGAGAGACUGACAGGCUUGUAAUUACCAGCAUCUUCUUUCAUACCCUUCUUGAAAACUGGGACAACGUUUGCCAGCUUCCAGUCAACUGGGAUUCAUGUGGCACGUGAAUCUCUGUUGCUUCUCCAAGGACACACCAAGAGCCUAUGGUAGAAAGAAGAACAAAAGCUCUCUCUCUGGUUCAGUGCUUCAAUUGCACAAAUGUAAUUUAUCAAGAUGGUAUUUAGAUAGCCUUAGAUAAAAGAUACAUCAAAGCAUACUUUUGGCUGCUGCUUUCAGAAGUAGUAGUAAAUCUCCCAGGGGAAUGCAAGUAGUCAGAUAUGAUCCAAGUUAUCAAAAUGCUCCAUCUCCUCACUGCCCCUCCUCCUCUCACUCUGGUUGGGUUCACAGGGAAGCCCUCUCUUGGGACUGGUGCAUCAUCUAUUACCAUCAGUAGAUUUUAGUUCAUAAAUGUGCGUUCAUUCUUUUCCAGCAAAACACUAUUUCAACACUAAUUCUGAAGAACUGUAAAUUGGCAAAGGAUCCAAAAAGAAUAAUGUACCAACCAUUAUGUUUAUUUUGGACACUGUAUCUAAGUGCUGAUAUUAGCAUUUCUGAGAGGAUUCUUUCAUCACUGCAUAAAGCUUUGUACCUGUGAGUAAGAUCUUGCUCAGAAGGUCCUGCGUGCCUCCUUUCCUCUAUCAACAAAGCUUACAAAUGCCAAGAGAUGGUUUUGCAAGGGAAGGUAGUGCACAUCCAUUAUUCAAGAUAAGAAAAUAGCUACUGAAAAAAUUCCAUGCCUAUUGCCUAUGGUGUAAUGAAAGCAGCACUACGUUUAAAGAAAAAGUCUCAUUUUUUUUUCAUGUGCCAUACUAGUUUGUUUAUUUAAAUAGCGACCUGAAUAUAUAUGUAUUCAAAGUGGCUCUCCUGUUUUCUUUUGGCUUUGUUUUUUAAGCUAAAAUCCUACAAUAGAACUUCAAGCACAGUGAUUAGUACUCAUUGUCAUGGAAAGACAAGCAGACCUGCACUAGCACUAACAAGGACUGCUGAAAAUAUUUUGCUCUUUCCAGACCAUGACCUCUUCUGCGGAUGUCAGCAGAAUAAACAUACUUUUAUAAAGUACCCUCA